Molecule: long non-coding RNA, 610 nt
Organism: Penaeus chinensis
Lineage: Eukaryota; Metazoa; Arthropoda; Malacostraca; Decapoda; Penaeidae
Exons: 4
Source: RefSeq, a predicted model, not a curated record
CUUCAGGUGCACCGAAGCCAAAAUGGACCUGCGGUGACCCCGGCAGCUUCCUCGGGCGUCCCGGUGGACCAAAGGCAGGGCGACAGCGAAUACCACUUCUCGUGGCGCCAUGACGGCCGCAAGACCUACACGUGGGAUCGCGCCAACCAGUACUGCGCCAACCUCGGCUCCGGCUGGCAGGGCAUCAGCAUCGGGACUCACCAGGAGGACAGUCUCGUCAGGGAAGCGAUUAUAGAGGAUCGCCUACCAUGGAUUUGGACCUCAGGUCAUAUCAAGAACCACGGCUUCGCCUGGGCUUCAGGUGAAGAAUUCGCGGGUCUGAACUGGUCUCACACCGGCGGGAAUCAUCGACCACAACCAGACAACCGAGAGGGGAACGAGCACUGCCUGGGGGUUCUCAACGACUUCUACGACGACGGCGUCAAGUGGCACGACAUCGCUUGCCACCACGACAAGGCCAUCAUCUGCGAGCGCAAAGUCCCAGUUCACGGAUGAACACAGAUACACACAGACAGACACAGAUAUACACACGUGUAAAGUAUAUGUAUAUUAUAUACAGACAUAUGAUAAGCCCAAUAAAAACUUAUUUAUAAACACUGUAUGAAUCUAA